GACGAACGCUGGCGGCGCGCCUAACACAUGCAAGUCGAACGAGCGAGAGAGAGCUUGCUUUCUCGAGCGAGUGGCGAACGGGUGAGUAACGCGUGAGGAACCUGCCUCAAAGAGGGGGACAACAGUUGGAAACGACUGCUAAUACCGCAUAAGCCCACGACCCGGCAUCGGGUAGAGGGAAAAGGAGCAAUCCGCUUUGAGAUGGCCUCGCGUCCGAUUAGCUAGUUGGUGAGGUAACGGCCCACCAAGGCGACGAUCGGUAGCCGGACUGAGAGGUUGAACGGCCACAUUGGGACUGAGACACGGCCCAGACUCCUACGGGAAGCAGCAGUGGGGAAUAUCGCACAAUGGGGGAAACCCUGAUGCAGCGACGCCGCGUGGAGGAAGAAGGUCUUCGGAUUGUAAACUCCUGUUGUUGAGGAAGAUAAUGACGGUACUCAACAAGGAAGUGACGGCUAACUACGUG
Molecule: ribosomal RNA, 466 nt
Filed under: uncultured bacterium
Lineage: Bacteria
Description: partial 16S ribosomal RNA
Rfam family: Bacterial small subunit ribosomal RNA
Source: RNAcentral